UGGGCUUGGGCUUCCGCUGUUUCUGCUGAACGUGACUGUAGGUCAGUAAAGGAGAGCGGCUGCGUGUACAGACUUGUUUGGCGUUUUGCCGCGCCUGCGCUGUUCGGCUGAGGAAUGUGAUCGCAUCGGUCCUCCUCCAGAAAUCAUUUGGGUGGAUAAUAUCCCCGCAGUGGCGUCACCGCUGUCUCGUUCCAGGAACUGCUGGC
Sinocyclocheilus grahami is the source of this 206-nucleotide long non-coding RNA. RefSeq lists it as uncharacterized. Lineage: Eukaryota; Metazoa; Chordata; Actinopteri; Cypriniformes; Cyprinidae. The record is from RefSeq and is a predicted model, not a curated record. The transcript is spliced from 4 exons.